UAUAACUGGGUUCAAAAAAUAAUUAACCAAGUUCAUAAAGGACAAGUCCAUCAUUGGGCUAUUAGCCAAGAUGGUCACAGAUGAACUCCAUGCUGUGGGUGUCCCUAAGCCUCUGACUGCUAGAUAACUGCUCUGUUCUGUUCAUUGCCUCAGAAGCAUCUGGCACCGGCCACUGUCGGAAGACAGGAUACCGGACUGGAUGGACCAUUUGUCUGACCCAGUAUGUCCGUUCUUAUGCCAGAAUCAUGACUGGUAAGUACUGGAUCCAAAGGAAGAGAGUUCUCUGUGUUAUAAGUUUGAUUCCCUUUUAGAUAAGGCUCUAGACCAGGCACCGCGAGCUCUGACAGCAAUUGCUAAACACCACAAAAGAAUGGGGAACUCACCAAACACACCAGCACAUGAAACCAAUAUGCGGAUUGAAAUCUCAUCCUUGUUAUUAUUUAUUAUUUGUAUUAUAUCAUCUAGAAUCAACCAACUGAGAGGAGCACCCUAUCGUGCGAGUUACUAUGCAAACGUUAAUGAAUUAAUCCUUGCAACACCCUUGGGAGGUGUGUGGAAGGCUCCUUGCUGUCUGCGGGUGGUGUCUGGUGAGCUGACCCAAGAGCACAGAUUAUCUAAAGCAUGACCAGAUGUAUCUACUUGACGGUGUAUAGAAGGCUCCUUGCUGUCUACGGGUGGUGUCUGACGCACUGCACAGGAGCCAGACCUAAGUGAACGUUAAAGGCACCCAGGGAUAGAAUACAAAUACAAUCUGACACAUCAGCUACGCUAUCAGAGGCUCGUUCACCUGCGCAUCUACCAAUGUGAUAUAUGCCAUCAUGUGCCAGCAAUGCCCUGCUGCCAUGUACAUUGGUCAAACUGGACAGUCUCUACG
Dermochelys coriacea (leatherback sea turtle) is the source of this 874-nucleotide long non-coding RNA. RefSeq lists it as uncharacterized. Lineage: Eukaryota; Metazoa; Chordata; Testudines; Dermochelyidae. The transcript has 4 exons. The record is from RefSeq and is a predicted model, not a curated record.